Molecule: ribosomal RNA, 228 nt
Filed under: Stygamoeba regulata
Lineage: Eukaryota; Discosea; Stygamoebida
Description: partial Eukaryotic large subunit ribosomal RNA
Rfam family: Eukaryotic large subunit ribosomal RNA
Source: RNAcentral
CGAAAUGGCCUUCACCUCUUCUCAAACUUUAAAUAGGUAAGAACGCCGUGGUACUUAAUUGACCGUGGUGCUCGAAUGGCGAGUUCUUAGUGGGCCAUUUUUGGUAAGCAGAACUGGCGAUGCGGGAUGCUCCGAAAGCUGAGUUAAAGUGCCUAAAUGUACGCUCAUGUAGAACCCACAAAAGGUGUUGGUGCAUUUAGACAGCAGGACGGUGGCCAUGGAAGUCGG